RNAcentral lists this transfer RNA (77 nucleotides) under Francisella tularensis subsp. holarctica 257. RNAcentral describes it as "tRNA-Val". It matches the Rfam family "tRNA". From Rfam's summary of the family: Transfer RNA (tRNA) molecules are approximately 80 nucleotides in length. Lineage: Bacteria; Pseudomonadati; Pseudomonadota; Gammaproteobacteria; Thiotrichales; Francisellaceae. The record is from RNAcentral.
GGGUGCUUAGCUCAGCUGGGAGAGCAUCGCUCUUACAAGGUGAGGGUCGGGGGGUUCGAACUCCUCAGCACCCACCC